RNAcentral lists this ribosomal RNA (253 nucleotides) under uncultured bacterium. RNAcentral describes it as "partial 16S ribosomal RNA". It matches the Rfam family "Bacterial small subunit ribosomal RNA", at positions 524 to 776 of the family's 1533-position model. The record is from RNAcentral.
UACGGGGGGGGCAAGCGUUGUUCGGAAUUACUGGGCGUAAAGGGUUCGUAGGUGGCCAACUAAGUCAUACGUGAAAUCCCUCAGCUUAACUGGGGAACUGCGUCUGAUACUGGAUGGCUUGAGUUCGGGAGAGGGAUGCGGAAUUCCAGGUGUAGCGGUGAAAUGCGUAGAUAUCUGGAGGAACACCGGUGGCGAAGGCGGCAUCCUGGACCGAUACUGACGCUGAGGAGCGAAAGCCAGGGGAGCAAACGGG